Ailuropoda melanoleuca (giant panda) is the source of this 87-nucleotide small nuclear RNA. The record is from Ensembl. NCBI's taxonomy places the organism in Eukaryota, Metazoa, Chordata, Mammalia, Carnivora, Ursidae.
GUGUGCUUCAGCUGCACAUAUACUAAAAUGAUUAGCAUGGCCCCAUGCAAGGAUGACACUCAAAUUCGUGAAAUAGUCCAUAUUUUA